UGUGCUGUGUGUGUGCUGUGUGCUGUGUGACUGAUUAUGUGACUGAUUAUGUGACUGAAGUGAGAAAGAAGGAGAAGGAAGAGGAGAGUGGGUUUGUUUUUAUAAACACGUGGGCGAGGGGAUACCCGCUCGGUUUUAUCGGUCUUAACACUGAGGAAUGUACCACGAGCUCCGGGUCUGUCGGUCUGUCAGUCUGUCUGUCUGUCCAGCGCUGCUCUCCUGGACACCUCUCUCACUUUGACUGAACACACAUUUGCACUUCAAGAGACACAAUUUUUUACUUUUUUUUUUUUUUUUUUUUUUUCUCCCCCCCCUUUCAGACUGUAAUACACCCUCCACGCGGUCAGGAGAAACUCCACAAAGCUAAUUUACUCACCUAUAAUGGUGUAUGCAACCACAACAGAUCCCACAGCGUCUAAAUGUUCAAACCUGGUUCUGCAUCAUCACACUCGGGUCUUAGCGCUCAGCUCCACCUCGGUUUCACAGCUUGUUUUAUGGCUUUACCAACUACAACCAAGUCCUAAAGGAGCCGUGUGCGAUUUGGAGCGCGGAAAACUCACGUACAUGCUCCCAAACUCAAAACGCAGCCUGCCGAAGACAAACCGAGAGAUGAACGGUCACUUUGAUGAAAACAUUAAAAGAGAGCAGAUUUUUAAAAAAAAAAAAAAACAGCUUGUUUCUUAUUUUCAUAUCAUUCAUAUCUUUUAUUAUUCAUCCCACAGAUUAGCCAAGAGGUGAAAUGUUAAUCCCCUGACAGGUUCUUAGUGUUCAGAAGGAAAUAAAAUAAUAAUCAAUCAUUCAAACAUCUCAAAAACAAGCAAAUGGGAGAAAAAAAAUUCAUAAAAUUAAUUAAAAAAUAAAUCUUUAAAUGUCAUUUGAUCAUCGGGAAAGUUUCGUAGUUUUGCUUUGAUUAUCAUAUUUUUUGUCUGAUUUAUUGGUUAUCGGUUGUUGUUUUGUCUCAUGUUUAUCUCUGUCUGGCUCCAAGGACAUGAAUAUUAAUUAAGCAGUGCACACAGCAGUCAUGUGAUUGGCUGAGAGAGAGAGCAUCUCAUUUACACACAGAUCUCCACGCAGAUUCCACGUACAGAACUGUCUGUGUGGGCGGGACAUACGCUCGCUCGCUCUCCUGUCAAUCACAGGGACGCUCCCUGGAGAGAGCCAGAUAAGGGCGGGAAAAAAAAUGGAGGUACGUUUAUCGACACGUGCAUUUUUAGCAGCUCGUGACACUUUAGUGCUCAGAAGUGUUUUUCUCCUAACCGCAAUAACUCGUUUUAGAGAAGACGGAGCGGAAAUGUCCGAUUUUGUACAGCCGCGAUUAACGACUUUCUCUUUGCUACUUUUUAAUAAGAAGUUUCCUUUUUUUCUGUAGAAUAUUUUUUGUGUCGCUGACGACAUCGUUUCGUCGCAGCGAGACGACGACGAUCACAUGAAAUCCUUUGUUCUUAUGAAGAUGGACACGUUUCAGCUUUGAUCUGCAAUAACGGUAAACUAUUAAAAACAAAAAAAACGAACAGACUAAUUUAUUUUAUUUUAAGUGAGAACGAAAAUCUGCUGUUUUUGGAUUUUUAUCAUUCUUAAUAAAGCAGCAAAUAGACAAGAGGGAGAAAAUGUUCAGUUCUCGGAUCGAUUUCUUUUUUAUUGUUAUUAUUUUUCUCAAAGGUGACCUUUAAAGCAAUACAGUAAAUGUGUGCAGUAUUUUCACUGUGUAUAUAAAUGUCAUGUCCAUCGUGAAGAAAAACGAAACAAACACACAAAAAAAAAAUAACAGUAUCAAAUGAUUUUGACGGUUUUUACCUUCGAGUUGCAGUCAGCUUUUUAAUCUCUUACGAUUGCUUUACUGGAGGAUAAAAAUAACGACGUGCAAUAAAUCAUUCUGUAUAUAAACGGCC
Tachysurus fulvidraco (yellow catfish) is the source of this 1889-nucleotide long non-coding RNA. RefSeq lists it as uncharacterized. The record is from RefSeq and is a predicted model, not a curated record. The transcript has 2 exons. NCBI's taxonomy places the organism in Eukaryota, Metazoa, Chordata, Actinopteri, Siluriformes, Bagridae.